GAUGAACGCUAGCUACAGGCUUAACACAUGCAAGUCGAGGGGAAACGAUAUUGGAAGCUUGCUUCCGAUAGGCGUCGACCGGCGCACGGGUGAGUAACGCGUAUCCAACCUGCCCACCACUUGGGGAUAACCUUGCGAAAGUAAGACUAAUACCCAAUGAUAUCUCAAGAAGACAUCUGACUGAGAUUCAAGAUUUAUCGGUGAUGGAUGGGGAUGCGUCUGAUUAGCUUGUUGGCGGGGUAACGGUCCACCAAGGCUACGAUCAGUAGGGGUUCUGAGAGGAAGGUCCCCCACAUUGGAACUGAGACACGGUCCAAACUCCUACGGGAGGCAGCAGUGAGGAAUAUUGGUCAAUGGGCGAGAGCCUGAACCAGCCAAGUAGCGUGCAGGAUGACGGCCCUAUGGGUUGUAAACUGCUUUUAUAAGGGAAUAAAGUGAGCCUCGUGAGGCUUUUUGCAUGUACCUUAUGAAUAAGGACCGGCUAAUUCCGUGCCAGCCGCCGCGGUAA
Molecule: ribosomal RNA, 508 nt
Filed under: uncultured bacterium
Lineage: Bacteria
Description: partial 16S ribosomal RNA
Rfam family: Bacterial small subunit ribosomal RNA
Source: RNAcentral